GUAGUGUGAAUUGCAGAAUUCAGUGAAUCAUCGAAUCUUUGAACGCAAAUGGCGCUCUUGGGUUUUCCCAGGAGCAUGUCUGUCUGAGUGUCG
This is a non-coding RNA of Nematostella vectensis (starlet sea anemone), 93 nucleotides long. NCBI's taxonomy places the organism in Eukaryota, Metazoa, Cnidaria, Anthozoa, Actiniaria, Edwardsiidae. The record is from Rfam.